This 263-nucleotide ribosomal RNA is filed under the name uncultured bacterium. RNAcentral describes it as "partial 16S ribosomal RNA". It matches the Rfam family "Bacterial small subunit ribosomal RNA", at positions 793 to 1055 of the family's 1533-position model. The record is from RNAcentral.
GUCCUAGCCCUAAACGAUGGAUGCUUGGUGUAGCGGGUACCCAAUCCCGCUGUGCCGGAGCUAACGCGUUAAGCAUCCCGCCUGGGGAGUACGGUAGCAAGGCUGAAACUCAAAGGAAUUGACGGGGCCGCACAAGCGGUGGAGCAUGUGGUUCAAUUCGACGCAACGCGAAGAACCUUACCCUGGGCGUCGAAGCGCAGUGGAAUCCGGUGGAAACACCGGCGCCCGCAAGGGCUGCUGCGGAGGUGCUGCAUGGCUGUCGU